RNAcentral lists this ribosomal RNA (465 nucleotides) under uncultured bacterium. RNAcentral's name for it is "partial 16S ribosomal RNA". It matches the Rfam family "Bacterial small subunit ribosomal RNA", at positions 28 to 507 of the family's 1533-position model. The record is from RNAcentral.
GACGAACGCUGGCGGCGUGCUUAACACAUGCAAGUCGAACGGAAAGGCCCCUUUGGGGGUACUCGAGUGGCGAACGGGUGAGUAACACGUGAGUAACCUGCCCUUGACUUCGGGAUAACUUCAGGAAACUGGGGCUAAUACCGGAUAGGAAUCCUUGCUGCAUGGUGGGGGUUGGAAAGCUUCGGCGGUUUUGGAUGGACUCGCGGCUUAUCAGCUUGUUGGUGGGGUAGUGGCUUACCAAGGCUUUGACGGGUAGCCGGCCCGAGAGGGAGACGGGACACAUAGGGAGUGAGAUUCGGCCCAGACUAAUACGGGAGGCAGCAGUGGCGAAUAUUGCAAGAUGGGCAGAGGCAUGAUGCAGAAACGCCGCGUGCGGGAGAACAGUAUUCGUGUUGUAAACCGCUGUCAGCAGGGGCAAAGCUUGUGAUGACGGUACCUGCAGAAGAAGCACCGGCUAACUACGUG